ACUGGCUCCUGGACAGGCAGGCCCUGGGUCACCAAGGCCACCAGCCUGGUAGGGACAUGGGAGAGCAGGGGAAGGAGUCCUCUAUGUUCCUGCAUACACAUCCAGACUCUUGUGGGCAAGGACAGCAGCCAGGUUCAACAUGCCCCAACUCUGCCCUCUCCAAAUGCCUUUAAAGACAAGCUGUAGGGGACUGUGAAGAUGACCCCAAGGAUCCAGACAUUUCCAGUUCCUGCAUCCAGUGGCCCUGCUGGGCAGAGGGGUCAUGAUUCAGAUGACUCGCACAUCGUUUCAAGGCAGAAUAAGAAAAGAGCCAGGCCUCAAAGGAGUUUUGUCACAGCAAGCUCGGACCUUUGAACCCUAUUCCUCACCCUGAUUUCCUGGCUGGGAAGAAAACAGCAGUCUAUAAAUAAUCUACACACUCCGAUUUCCUUACAGCACAUGCAUCUCCAAAACUAUUUCCCAAAGGCUCCAUCUCUCUGUUUCCUGGCUAGAGAACACUGAUUCAUCCCUCAAAACCCUGUUGAAAUGAUGCUCGUGUGUAAGACUUCCCUGGCCUCCACAUCCCCAAACUGGGUCGGUUACUCCUUUGCUGAGCAUGCCGUAUCAAAUUGUCAAUACAGUGUUUAUGUCCCCCGGCAUCUGGGACAGUGCCAGAAGCAUACUAGGAGCUCCAUAAUGUUGGUUAAAUGAACAGAUACAAAAAUAAAUAAGUCCACCUCCCAA
Peromyscus eremicus (cactus mouse) is the source of this 723-nucleotide long non-coding RNA. RefSeq lists it as uncharacterized. Lineage: Eukaryota; Metazoa; Chordata; Mammalia; Rodentia; Cricetidae. The transcript has 3 exons. The record is from RefSeq and is a predicted model, not a curated record.